This 397-nucleotide ribosomal RNA is filed under the name uncultured bacterium. RNAcentral's name for it is "bacterial SSU rRNA". It matches the Rfam family "Bacterial small subunit ribosomal RNA", at positions 30 to 427 of the family's 1533-position model. The record is from RNAcentral.
AUUGAACGCUGGCGGCAUGCCUAACACAUGCAAGUCGAACGGUAACAGGCCCUUCGGGGUGCUGACGAGUGGCGGAUGGGUGAGUAAUACUUAGGAAUCUACCCUGUAGUGGGGGACAACCCGGGGAAACUCGGGCUAAUACCGCAUACGCUCUACGGAGGAAAGCGGGGGACCGCAAGGCCUCGCGCUAUUGGAUGAGCCUAAGCCCGAUUAGCUAGUUGGUGGGGUAAUAGCCUACCAAGGCAAUGAUCGGUAGCUGGUCUGAGAGGACGACCAGCCACACUGGGACUGAGACACGGCCCAGACUCCUACGGGAGGCAGCAGUGGGGAAUAUUGGACAAUGGGCGAAAGCCUGAUCCAGCGAUGCCGCGUGUGUGAAGAAGGCCUGCGGGGUUUG